Petromyzon marinus (sea lamprey) is the source of this 378-nucleotide non-coding RNA. The record is from RefSeq and is a predicted model, not a curated record. NCBI's taxonomy places the organism in Eukaryota, Metazoa, Chordata, Hyperoartia, Petromyzontiformes, Petromyzontidae.
UCAAAAAUCUUCCAAAAUCGCGUGACGUCAUUUAGUGCUUUUGCCGGGACGUGCCGAGUGAGGUGGGCGCACACUCCGACUCGCUCAUCCCACCACGGCGUCGCCUUGCUUGCGGGCGUAACCCGUCCACACUGCUGGCUGUCGGGACGGACGCGGUAUCAACGUGUGCAGGAGCGAGGCGGAGAGGAAUUGUGACGUCAUCAGGAAGCAUUCGUCCAGCAGUGGCUCCAUCAAGGCCGUUGACUCGUCGUGAAGGAGCACACCGAGAUGACCUGCACGCCUGUGAUUCUAAAGUGUUACUGCAGCCUCGCAGCCCUUUGCUGCUCAAUGGUUAUGAUCAUUAUUUCUAAUGUUAAUGAAUACAUAGGUUUGAUGGAA